Calidris pygmaea (Spoon-billed sandpiper) is the source of this 1855-nucleotide long non-coding RNA. NCBI's taxonomy places the organism in Eukaryota, Metazoa, Chordata, Aves, Charadriiformes, Scolopacidae. The record is from Ensembl.
GGAUAACCCUGAUUUCCAUAUGCAGAUUUAUCUGCACUGACAGCCCCCUCUCCCUCUCUUAGUCUUUCUGUUUCCUCUCUCCCUCCCUCUCUCUCCCUCUUUCUCUUCCCCUCUCUUUCUCUUCCUCUCUGUCUUUUUGUCUCUCUUUAUGUCUAUUGCAUUAUGCUUGAAUAAUUUUCAGCUGGGGUUUUUUUUUUCUCUCCUCUUGCACAUGCUAAAAUAACUAGACAAAGAUGCAAGGUGGUUGCUGCAGUCCCUGUCUCUAGGACAAAACCAAGAAAGCUCGGGUUUGCAAUGCCACCUUUCCUUUUUUUUUUUUUUUCUUUCUUUUUUUUUUCCCCCACCCAUGCUCGGUGAUUAAACUUACCCAGGAUGGGGAAGAAAAAGGAGCUGGAAAUGAGAUAAGGUUAAGGAAAAAGCCCAUUGCAGCAGCUGCAGCCAGUGGUGUCUGCUGCCAGAUGUGCUAAGGUUCCUGGGGUCCUUGACACUAAAAGGCAGUAUUAAAAUAUUUGGAGACAAAAGCUGCAUCUUCAGUGCUCAUUUUCUUUAUUUAACAUGGCAGCAAGCACCGUGUGGGGGAAAAUCAACACGCUGGAUGUUGAAUUGGACUUUUCUCCGUUCUAGGAUGAAAGGAUGUUAUCUAUCCCGUGCCAAGAGGGAACUAAGAGCAAUGAACAUAUGGCUGUUACUAUCAGCACUAGUGUAUUUGCGGCGAUGCCUAUCAACAUCCACCAGAGAGCAGGGCAGCUCCAAAACCCACAUCUUUUAUGCUGUGGAAAUUGAUGGAGACAGCAACACAGCCAGCUUCUUGGCCAAACAACAUGGAAUGCAGUUCAUUUCAAAGGUGAAACGGGUGAAUAUCAGACAGCUCAUUAUAGAGACAAGCAUGCUGCAUUCCCCGAGUAGGAUGACAGAACAAGUCAUGGGAUCUGGGAAACAUCCUGCCUCCCCUAGGCCCAGGGGCCGUGGAAGAGCAGCAUCACCAGUGUCCAUGGGCAGGAUGAACAAACUGGCUGUGCUCCUUGCAGUUGCUCCUACUGCUGAAGAGGAAACUGUAUCUGAGCUUUUUCACUCGCUCUCUGGUCCCUGUGCUGAAGCUGCUUCAAACAGCUGUCUGUGUAUGUGCUCCACAAUUUGGGCACUAUUUUUGGAGUCUUAUGUGCCUUGGAAUGAAAUGUCCCUGUUCUGCUCAGCUCCCAAAGGCAUUCCCAUUGAGAGCAAAAGAGAUGUCACCUGUGGGCCCUCCUGCCUUUUGCUGAGGAAUCAAAGUCAACCACCUCCUGCAACAGCCCAUGGGGCAGGUAUGCCAUCAUUCCCCGUGCACUGUCAGGUACCAGCACCCAACAAAUAUGACUCCAACACAGCCAGAUGACAGGGUCUGCAGAGGUCUUCUGAUCUGAAUGGGAGAGUGCAUUUUACUUCAUCUGUAUGUGCUUGGAGAAUAACACAUCAAAAUUCUUCUUGAAAAGUAUGGCCAAGUUAGGUCUGUCCACGGUUCCCCACUAUGCUCUUUCCAGUGUAUGGAUCAACAUCAAAUGCAUUGUAGUUUUGGCAAAUAAUUUCUCCCACUCUUCCCUUUCUCUUCCCCCUCCCCUCCCAGCUGACACACAGUGACUAUAGGGGGCAAUGCAACCUCAUCAUACAGCCUGUGUACAUCAGCUACAUACCACAUUAAUAGGCGGAAACUUUAAAGUCUUCGUUUUUACUUCUUGCUUUUGAGCAAUUUGUACCAUGGUAAGCUGUAUUGUUAUUUGGGCCCCAUAAAAUGAGACAUUUUAACUUCAGAUAAGCUUUUACCAGUUACAUUUUUUUGAUUGUUUGUAAAUGAAAGUUAAUAAAGAGUGAUUUCAUUUCA